Molecule: ribosomal RNA, 449 nt
Filed under: uncultured bacterium
Lineage: Bacteria
Description: partial 16S ribosomal RNA
Rfam family: Bacterial small subunit ribosomal RNA
Source: RNAcentral
AACGAACGCUGGCGGCAGGCUUAACACAUGCAAGUCGAACGCAUCCUUCGGGGGGAGUGGCAGACGGGUGAGUAACGCGUGGGACCGGGCCUUUCAGUUCGGGUUACCCAGGGGAAACUUGGGCAAUACCCGGAACGGUGCGAGGGCAGAAAGAUUUAUGGUUGAGGAACAGGCCCGCGCCUGAUUAGCUAGUUGGGGGGGUAAUGGCCCACCAAGGCGACGAUCAGUAGCUGGUCUGAGAGGAUGAUCAGCCACACUGGGACUGAGACACGGCCCAAACUCCUACGGGAGGCAGCAGUGGGGAAUAUUGGACAAUGGGCGCAAGCCUGAUCCAGCCAUGCCGCGUGAGUGAUGAAGGCCUUAGGGUUGUAAAGCUCUUUCGUCCGGGACGAUAAUGACGGUACCGGAAGAAGAAGCCCCGGCUAACUUCGUGCCAGCCGCCGCCGUAA